CCGGUCUGAAGGUCGGCCCGGAAGUCGGCCCAGGGAUCUGAGGUCCCCAGGAUCUGAGGUUCCACAGGAAACGGCUGCGUGUCCCUAGGAUGGUGAUGGGGCCACCGCCAGGCCAUGACAGUAUGUGCGUGACCUCAGUGCUUCUCCGUGGCCAGCACAAGAAGAAAGCUUUGUUUAUGGCUACAACACAGACCUGACCACAUGGGGCGCCCAGACCACGGCCUCCAAGCCUCACCUCGUGGGGAGCGAGGGCUCAGCCUGUGCCCGGCCAGACCACCCCUCUGACAACAUGCUGUUUUUCGAAGAGACAGUGCAGGGUCAUCUGUGAUGCUUCCUCCCUGGAGUCCUCUGCCAUGGAAAGGGAGGAUCAGAGUGAGUUCCCGUGAUCAUUUCCCUGGCUGUGGUGGGCCCCCCCACAAACCCUGACUUCGGCUAGGAAUCUCCUUGCAAAACAUGAACGGGGUGUAAGAGCUGAGUGGGAGCCCGGGGAGCCUACACGCACACCUCACCUGGAGGGCCCAGCAAGCUUGCCCUCACCACAUGGCCACUGUGGGCAGAUGAGUGAAGCCUGAGCUUUGGCUCAGCCCACCUCAGCCCAUUUCCCCUCCUCUUCCCUUCCUCAUUCUGUCCCUACUCCCCCUUCCCCCUCCCCCUUCCCUCCCUUCCCCCUUCCCCCUCCCCUCCCCCUCCUCCUCGCCUAGCCACAGUGAUGCCUGCCAUGGCUAUGGGGACGAACCUGCAGGGCAGCCCCGAAAAGCCGCUGUAAACUGUCUGCCACCCUGCACCCGGGAGAGGGCCUUGUAUUCUUCAGUGAGAACCCUUAAGAGAGGCAGCUGUCAAGACACUUGUGACUGCACAGAGCCUCCUGACCUGACAGCUGGGCUGAAUGACUGGCCACCUCUUGUCUGUGCCCACACAUCAACUGCCACAUUCAGCUUGUGAGACCAGAUUCCUUCCAGCCGUAGACCCAUCCCCACAAUCUGCCUCAUCUCAAAGUUCUGAGUCCCCCCGUAUUCCAGGGGUCAGACUACAUGACUGACAGGCUUCUGAAACAUGAAGACCUUUCUUGCAGAGAGCUCAAAGAGGGUCAUAAUCAGAUGGAUGACAAGUAAGACUACAGUGAGAGGGAGCUGCAUGAGAACACACCCUAAAUUAGUUUCAGCUUUCCUGCAAAUCCUUAUAUAUUCCUUCUGUUGAUCAACUGAAAACCCAAAAUCAAUCUAAUUCAAUUCUGAAACUGAACAUGGAGCCAGACGUUGUAUAGGUGCCUGGGACCGGUAGUGAAUAAAAGACAUUUCCUAUGUCCUUGAGAGAUUUAG
Molecule: long non-coding RNA, 1319 nt
Filed under: Felis catus (domestic cat)
Lineage: Eukaryota; Metazoa; Chordata; Mammalia; Carnivora; Felidae
Description: lncRNA (ENSFCAG00000052062.1)
Source: RNAcentral